GUAGGUGGCAAGCGUUGUCCGGAAUUAUUGGGCGUAAAGCGCGCGCAGGCGGUUCUUUAAGUCUGAUGUGAAAGCCCACGGGCUCAACCGUGGAGGGUCAUUGGAAACUGGAGAACUUGAGUACAGAAGAGGAAGGCGGAAUUCCACGUGUAGCGGUGAAAUGCGUAGAGAUGAGGAGGAACACCAGUGGCGAAGGCGGCUUUCUGGUCUGUAACUGACGCUGAGGCGCGAAAGCGUGGGGAGCAAACAGGAUUAGAUACCCUGGUAGUCCACGCCGUAAACGAUGAGUGCUAAGUGUUAGGGGGUUCCGCCCCUUAGUGCUGCAGCUAACGCAUUAAGCACUCCGCCUGGGGAGUACGGCCGCAAGGCUG
This 371-nucleotide ribosomal RNA is filed under the name uncultured organism. RNAcentral's name for it is "partial 16S ribosomal RNA". It matches the Rfam family "Bacterial small subunit ribosomal RNA", at positions 527 to 896 of the family's 1533-position model. The record is from RNAcentral.